RNAcentral lists this ribosomal RNA (493 nucleotides) under uncultured bacterium. Its description in RNAcentral is "partial 16S ribosomal RNA". It matches the Rfam family "Bacterial small subunit ribosomal RNA", at positions 28 to 506 of the family's 1533-position model. The record is from RNAcentral.
GACGAACGCUGGCGGCGUGCUUAACACAUGCAAGUCGAACGGAAAGGCCUGCUUUCCCUUGUGGAUUGCGGGUACUCGAGUGGCGAACGGGUGAGUAACACGUGAGUGAUCUGCCCCCAACUUGGGUAUAAGCCUGGGAAACUGGGUCUAAUUCCCGAUAGGACUGCAGGGUGGUGCCUGUGGUGGAAAACGAUUUUCUAGUGGUUGGGGAUGAGCUCGCGGCCUAUCAGCUUGUUGGUGGGGUAAUGGCCUACCAAGGCGGCGACGGGUAGCCGGCCUGGGAGGGCGGACGGGCACAUUGGGACUGGGAUACGGACCAGAGUCCUACGGGAGGCAGCAGUGGGGAAUAUUGCACAAUGGGCGGAAGCCUGAUGGAGGGACGCGGCGUGGAGGAUGACGGCUUUCGGGUUGUAAACUCCUUUCGACCGCGAGGAAGCCACCUGGUUGGAAGGGUGGUGAGGGUAGUGGUAGAAGAAGCACCGGUGAACUACGU